UCCAGAGGGGGCAAGCGUUGUUCGGAAUUACUGGGCGUAAAGGGCGCGUAGGCGGCCUGCUAAGUCGAACGUGAAAUCCCCGGGCUCAACCCGGGAACUGCGUCCGAUACUGGUGGGCUUGAAUCCGGGAGAGGGAUGUGGAAUUCCAGGUGUAGCGGUGAAAUGCGUAGAUAUCUGGAGGAACACCGGUGGCGAAGGCGGCAUCCUGGACCGGUAUUGACGCUGAGGCGCGAAAGCCAGGGGAGCAAACGGG
This 253-nucleotide ribosomal RNA is filed under the name uncultured bacterium. Its description in RNAcentral is "partial 16S ribosomal RNA". It matches the Rfam family "Bacterial small subunit ribosomal RNA", at positions 524 to 776 of the family's 1533-position model. The record is from RNAcentral.